AACGAACGCUGGCGGCAGGCCUAACACAUGCAAGUCGAACGCUCUAGCAAUAGAGAGUGGCAGACGGGUGAGUAACGCGUGGGAACCUUCCCAGUGGUGCGGAAUAGCUCAGGGAAACUUGGGGUAAUACCGCAUGAGCCCGAAAGGGGAAAGAUUUAUCGCCAUUGGAUGGGCCCGCGUAGGAUUAGCUAGUUGGUGAGGUAAUGGCUCACCAAGGCAACGAUCCUUAGCUGGUUUGAGAGAAUGACCAGCCACACUGGGACUGAGACACGGCCCAGACUCCUACGGGAGGCAGCAGUGGGGAAUAUUGGACAAUGGGCGCAAGCCUGAUCCAGCCAUGCCGCGUGAGUGAAGAAGGCCCUCGGGUUGUAAAGCUCUUUUGUCCGGAAAGAAAAGCAUCUGGUUAAUACCCGGGUGUUCUGACGGUACCGGAAGAAUAAGCACCGGCUAACUUCGUG
This 458-nucleotide ribosomal RNA is filed under the name uncultured bacterium. RNAcentral describes it as "bacterial SSU rRNA". It matches the Rfam family "Bacterial small subunit ribosomal RNA", at positions 29 to 507 of the family's 1533-position model. The record is from RNAcentral.